This 445-nucleotide ribosomal RNA is filed under the name uncultured bacterium. RNAcentral's name for it is "partial 16S ribosomal RNA". It matches the Rfam family "Bacterial small subunit ribosomal RNA", at positions 354 to 796 of the family's 1533-position model. The record is from RNAcentral.
GUGAGGAAUAUUGGACAAUGGGCGCAAGCCUGAUCCAGCCAUGCCGCGUGCAGGAAGACGCAUCUAUGGUGUGUAAACUGCUUUUGUACGGGAAGAAACACUCCCUCGUGAGGGAGCUUGACGGUACCGUAAGAAUAAGGAUCGGCUAACUCCGUGCCAGCAGCCGCGGUAAUACGGAGGAUCCAAGCGUUAUCCGGAAGCAUUGGGUUUAAAGGGUCCGUAGGCGGGUUAAUAAGCCAGUGGUGAAAGCCCAUCGCUCAACGAUGGAACGGCCAUUGAUACUGUUAGACUUGAAUUACAAGGAAGUAACUAGAAUAUGUAGUGUAGCGGUGAAAUGCUUAGAUAUUACAUGGAAUACCAAUUGCGAAGGCAGGUUACUACUUGUGGAUUGACGCUGAUGGACGAAAGCGUGGGGAGCGAACAGGAUUAGAAACCCCGGUAGUCC